This is a long non-coding RNA of Gadus morhua (Atlantic cod), 999 nucleotides long. RefSeq lists it as uncharacterized. The record is from RefSeq and is a predicted model, not a curated record. NCBI's taxonomy places the organism in Eukaryota, Metazoa, Chordata, Actinopteri, Gadiformes, Gadidae. The transcript has 3 exons.
AUGACGAUCAGACGAGUGCAGUUCACCUUCAUCUGCUCAUCACUUUAGCAAAAGAAAGAUGAUCCAUCUGGUACAGCAGACUCGAGACUGUAGCUCGUAUCUGGCAGCAGACAAUACGCAGCCUAAGUCCUCUUCAGGACUAGACAAGUUCUCCGGGUUCUCAGGAGCGAUGGUCCCGGCUGACCAGCAGGGGGCGCUGCUCGCACAGUCGAUCGACCACUGCCGGUCCUACGCAACACGAGCCGUCAUUCAAAAGCAGUGAUCCUCGUUCUGCUGGUUUUCCUGAACCUCUAGGUCCUCGGUUGUGUUGACGUUCCGGUCGUUCCAGGUUCAGAUUUCCUCAGGAGCAGAGGCUUUGGUCCAGGGGUUCACCACGGAGUCCGCCAGCCCAGGAGAGGAGCUCAUAACUGUUACUGGGAUGGAAACCUAGGUCCCCUGUCCCACUAGUCAGAGCUUCUCUCACUAGUCAUCUCUCACUAGUCGCCUGUCUGAGCUUCUCUCACUAGUCGUUUCUCACUAGUCUUCUCUCACUAGUCAGAGCUUCUCUUACUGGUCUUCUCUCACUAGUUUUCUCUCACUAGUCUUCUCUCACUAGUCAGAGCUUCUCUAACUAAUCUGAACUUGUGUAGCCUGUUGAGGAUCAGCCCAGUAGGGUCAGCCCCGGUCCCAUUCCUCCCAGUCCCAUUCCUCCCAGUGCCAUUCCUCCCAGUGCCAUUCCUCCCAGUGUGAUACCAUAGCAGCACCCAGACAGCAGGAUGGGACAGAGCGGGGCAUCAUUGAGAAAGGAGAUAUAGUUCAAAUAGUUGGAAACCAUAGGACAAUUUGGGGAAUAAAUGUGUUAAAGGUAUCAAGGACAUCAGAAAGCAGGAUCCCAGCCCAGCAAAACUACUUCCACUAAUCUUCUAAUGUUCAUCAACAUAUGUGGUGUAAUCUAAAAUCAUAAAUGUAAAUAAUCUUCCCUUGCUGUGAAAAUAGUGGUGAUAAAGUUUUAGUUCACCA